This 467-nucleotide ribosomal RNA is filed under the name uncultured bacterium. Its description in RNAcentral is "partial 16S ribosomal RNA". It matches the Rfam family "Bacterial small subunit ribosomal RNA", at positions 28 to 506 of the family's 1533-position model. The record is from RNAcentral.
GACGAACGCUGGCGGCGUGCUUAACACAUGCAAGUCGAACGGAAAGGCCCUGCUUUUGUGGGGUGCUCGAGUGGCGAACGGGUGAGUAACACGUGAGUAACCUGCCCUUGACUUUGGGAUAACUUCAGGAAACUGGGGCUAAUACCGGAUAGGAGCUCCUGCUGCAUGGUGGGGGUUGGAAAGUUUCGGCGGUUGGGGAUGGACUCGCGGCUUAUCAGCUUGUUGGUGGGGUAGUGGCUUACCAAGGCUUUGACGGGUAGCCGGCCUGAGAGGGUGACCGGCAACAUUGGGACUGAGAUACGGCCCAGACUCCUACGGGAGGCAGCAGUGGGGAAUAUUGCACAAUGGGCGGAAGCCUGAUGCAGCAACGCCGCGUGCGGGAUGACGGCCUUCGGGUUGUAAACCGCUUUCGCCUGUGACGAAGCGUGAGUGACGGUAAGGGGUAAAGAAGCACCGGCUAACUACGU